UAACAAGCCAAACAAGAAAAUUUUGAUCAGCAAUUUGGAUACACAUUUUUAGAAACUACAAUAUUGCGAGGUGUCUCUAGUACAAGCACUCUUUAGGCAUUUGAUUGAAUCUUGCAGUAUCCUUACAAUAAUCAUACACCAAGUACUUGUUUUGAACCAUUUUGAAUUGGCGUUUUUUGCUCUUUUCUAGCCCAUUCUUGGAUGGUUUAUCCCACAAAAAUUUAGCUAACUUGCCACAUUUUGCACCUGCAGCAAUUGUGUCCUCACCACACAAAUCACAAGCAUCGAUCUCGAACGAUCGAAA
RNAcentral lists this unclassified non-coding RNA (304 nucleotides) under Hevea brasiliensis (rubber tree). Lineage: Eukaryota; Viridiplantae; Streptophyta; Magnoliopsida; Malpighiales; Euphorbiaceae. The record is from RNAcentral.